RNAcentral lists this ribosomal RNA (484 nucleotides) under Salmonella enterica subsp. enterica serovar Infantis. Its description in RNAcentral is "partial 23S ribosomal RNA". It matches the Rfam family "Bacterial large subunit ribosomal RNA", at positions 1 to 515 of the family's 2925-position model. RNAcentral also lists the same sequence under 1 other name. Lineage: Bacteria; Pseudomonadati; Pseudomonadota; Gammaproteobacteria; Enterobacterales; Enterobacteriaceae. The record is from RNAcentral.
GGGUUGUGAGGUUAAGCGACUAAGCGUACACGGUGGAUGCCCUGGCAGUCAGAGGCGAUGAAGGGCGUGCUAAUCUGCGAUAAGCGCCGGUAAGGUGAUAUGAACCGUUAUAACCGGCGAUACCCGAAUGGGGAAACCCAGUGUGAUUCGUCACACUAUCAUUAACUGAAUCCAUAGGUUAAUGAGGCGAACCGGGGGAACUGAAACAUCUAAGUACCCCGAGGAAAAGAAAUCAACCGAGAUUCCCCCAGUAGCGGCGAGCGAACGGGGAGGAGCCCAGAGCCUGAAUCAGCAUGUGUGUUAGUGGAAGCGUCUGGAAAGGCGCGCGAUACAGGGUGACAGCCCCGUACACAAAAGCGCAUGUGCUGUGAGCUCGAUGAGUAGGGCGGGACACGUGGUAUCCUGUCUGAAUAUGGGGGGACCAUCCUCCAAGGCUAAAUACUCCUGACUGACCGAUAGUGAACCAGUACCGUGAGGGAAAGGC